Long non-coding RNA from Octodon degus (degu), 403 nucleotides. RefSeq lists it as uncharacterized. NCBI's taxonomy places the organism in Eukaryota, Metazoa, Chordata, Mammalia, Rodentia, Octodontidae. The record is from RefSeq and is a predicted model, not a curated record. The transcript is spliced from 2 exons.
AUCACCACAAGUUCAGGGCCAGCCCAGGCUACAUAUCCAUACAUAACAAGUUGGCUCCAAGGACAACUGUGCAUGAUGGAGGAAAACAGCAGAAUCAAUAAGAACACACACACAAAAAAAAAAAAAGCAAAGAGGGAGAGCAAGCCCCUCUCCCUCCUGGUAUUGCGUGCAGGCUGCCUGGCCCAGGGCAGCUAUAGCACUCACAGCCAUAAUCCCAGCGUUGGACCGAGAGUCAAUCUCAAACUCUAGAAGUCUGCCUCGUGAUGCAUGAGGCUUUGGGAGGACAUCCAGACACACCAUAACGCUCGUGUUGCUAAUCUCUUCGUGUGCAUAUUGACCACCUGUGCGCAUCUUUGGAGACUUUUGAAAUACUUUGCUCAUGUAAAAAAAAUUUUCUAUCUGA